UCUAAUAUGACAGAAUUUAUGUACUGGAUUUAAACCCCAUCNAUAAAGGAUUNAUCCUUUUUUUAGAA
RNAcentral lists this transfer RNA (68 nucleotides) under Greya powelli. Its description in RNAcentral is "tRNA-Leu". Lineage: Eukaryota; Metazoa; Arthropoda; Insecta; Lepidoptera; Prodoxidae. The record is from RNAcentral.